Molecule: long non-coding RNA, 698 nt
Filed under: Nicotiana benthamiana
Lineage: Eukaryota; Viridiplantae; Streptophyta; Magnoliopsida; Solanales; Solanaceae
Description: long non-coding RNA (NBEN_LNC016811)
Source: RNAcentral
UUAAAUGGCAGUCCAACUACUGACUGGAUUAUGAUUGAUACCAGUCCCUUAAUUAAGGGACUGAUACCUUGUUUGUUUACUCUCUUUCAGUACUAUAAGUAGCCCCCCCCUCCCCUAAUUCUCUUUGAAAGACAAAACCUAACGAACACAUUGCAUAUCAUCUACACUCAAUGUUCUGAACUCUCUCUCUUUUCACAAAACAUUUAUGUGCUCUUUGUUUCUACACAAUUGUCUUUCACUUUUCGUGUUGAAUGCUAAUCACUCGACUGGUUGCAAGCCAAAUUUGAAUAAGCUUGGUCACUUUCACUUUACUGGCUUCUACUCUGUUGUUUGCUUUGGGUCUACCUGUUGCUCCUUUCUUGCAUACUGUUGCUCACUUCCUGCAUACUGCUGCUAUGCUCUCUGCUUCUCUCUGCACAUUACUGCUCACCACAUUGCCCACUACUGCUCUGUGUUUACAUUAUGUUCCAGCUGAUGUAUUCCAUUUAAGUUAUAGCCUCAAAAACGAUAUGCUUCUAUUAGUACUGCACUUCCUUUUGUUUCUUGUGUGUUUUUAUUUAUGGUUAUGUUUUUCUUAUUGCCACUGGCAUAUACUUAUGAUAAUUAGUAUCCCUAGCAUGACUUGGCAUGUGACUGCCCCUUCUUCUAUCCCAAUGCAUGUUUUUUCCUCACUCAUGUGCACUACUAGCAUGUGCUCG